CAAGGUCUCUUUAAUUAGCCUCAGGCAUUUUGAUCCUUUAAACCCUAAACUGUCUUUAAACUAUCCAGAAGUGUUGACUUCCAAAGACUUUAAUUUGGACAAGCAAGUGGGAGAAAGUGGAGAGUAUUAACUUCUUUUCUCAAGCAUCAUGGUACUCCUAAUUAACACAUCGUUGUCUUCUUUGUGAGAACCUGCACAAAUAAGUCAGAUGUGUCUGCUAGCUGUUGAAAUUCUACAAUGAAAAUACCUUCAAAAGGCUCCACUGGAGAAAUAAAUCCUCUCUUGAGCCAACCCAUAACACAUUCCCGAAGAAAAAAAAAGAUGAAACUGACCUGCUCAUUUAGUGAUGAACAAAGCUCCAAGGCCUUGUAGAAGCACUGGCCAAGCUGACCCAGAAGAAAACUUUAUGUAAAUGGCUCAAGCAUAUUAUAAUGUUGGACCAAGAAAUCCUGAAGCAAAAAAG
RNAcentral lists this long non-coding RNA (463 nucleotides) under Apteryx owenii (little spotted kiwi). RNAcentral's name for it is "lncRNA (ENSAOWG00000002038.1)". Lineage: Eukaryota; Metazoa; Chordata; Aves; Apterygiformes; Apterygidae. The record is from RNAcentral.